UUACGGGAGGCAGCAGUGGGGAAUUUUGGACAAUGGGCGAAAGCCUGAUCCAGCCAUGCCGCGUGCAGGAUGAAGGCCUUCGGGUUGUAAACUGCUUUUGUACGGAACGAAAAGGUCUUUUCUAAUAAAGAAGGCUCAUGACGGUACCGUAAGAAUAAGCACCGGCUAACUACGUGCCAGCAGCCGCGGUAAUACGUAGGGUGCAAGCGUUAAUCGGAAUUACUGGGCGUAAAGCGUGCGCAGGCGGUUAUGUAAGACAGUUGUGAAAUCCCCGGGCUCAACCUGGGAACUGCAUCUGUGACUGCAUAGCUAGAGUACGGUAGAGGGGGAUGGAAUUCCGCGUGUAGCAGUGAAAUGCGUAGAUAUGCGGAGGAACACCGAUGGCGAAGGCAAUCCCCUGGACCUGUACUGACGCUCAUGCACGAAAGCGUGGGGAGCAAACAGGAUUAGAUACCCCCGUAGUCCA
RNAcentral lists this ribosomal RNA (466 nucleotides) under uncultured bacterium. Its description in RNAcentral is "bacterial SSU rRNA". It matches the Rfam family "Bacterial small subunit ribosomal RNA", at positions 339 to 797 of the family's 1533-position model. The record is from RNAcentral.